GUUUGAUCCUGGCUCAGAGCGAACGUUAGCGGCAGGCUUAACACAUGCAAGUCGAGCGAGAAAGGGGCUUCGGCUCCGAGUAAAAGCGGCGGACGGGUGCGUAACACGUGGAUAAUCUGCCUCGUGGCGGGGGACAACAGUCCGAAAGGACUGCUAAUACCGCAUGUCAGGUCGGAAACUCCGGUUUCUGACGAAAAAGAGGGCGUCCGCAAGGAGCUCUCACCACGAGAUGAGUCCGCGUCCCAUCAGCUAGUUGGCGGUGUAAUGGACCACCAAGGCUUAGACGGGUAGCUGGUCUGAGAGGAUGACCAGCCACACUGGGACUGAGACACGGCCCAGACUCCUACGGGAGGCAGCAGUGGGGAAUAUUGGACAAUGGGCGAAAGCCUGAUCCAGCCAUGCCGCGUGAGUGAUGAAGGCCUC
RNAcentral lists this ribosomal RNA (423 nucleotides) under uncultured bacterium. RNAcentral's name for it is "bacterial SSU rRNA". It matches the Rfam family "Bacterial small subunit ribosomal RNA", at positions 11 to 418 of the family's 1533-position model. The record is from RNAcentral.